AAGUCGUAACAAGGUUUCCGUAGGUGAACCUGCGGAAGGAUCAUUAUUGAACAAACUGGGUGGGUUGUUGCUGGCCUCUUGGGGCAUGUGCACACCUGCCUUUGUUUCUUCUCUUCGCCACCUGUGCACAUUUUGUAGACUUGGAUAUCUUUCGAGGCAACUCGGUCAGGGAGCUGUCGUUGAGCUCAAGGCUUGCUCGGCUGCUCCUACAUUUCCGGUCUAUGUUCUUUCUUGUACACCAUUGUAUGUUAUGUUGCAGAAUGUAUGAAUUGGGCAUUUAUAAAUCUAUUACAACUUUCAACAACGGAUCUCUUGGCUCUC
Molecule: unclassified non-coding RNA, 321 nt
Filed under: fungal sp.
Lineage: Eukaryota; Fungi
Description: partial internal transcribed spacer region
Rfam family: Eukaryotic small subunit ribosomal RNA (bases 1-46)
Source: RNAcentral